CCCCGAGUAUCCGCACACCCUCCUCAGCUGUGUACGACACCAAAUCCCCAGACCGGACAACCUAUGAAAACGCAACAAGACAUUUUGUCCGUUAAGCCCAACUGAAGAACCAAAGCAAAACACUCUAACAGGAAUGACUUCAGCUGCUAGUGACCUCAGAAACGGCAUCCUUGGCCGGCUUGGCUAUCUCCUUGACAAGGCACUCGGCGAUGGGGGCCUUGUGCUCCUUGAGGAUCGCGGCCGCCUUGUGGAGGAGCUCCGCACGCUUCCACAGCGGCGUCCGGGCCCAUGCCUUCUGCGCGACCUUGGCCGCGUCCAUCGCCUUGUUCACCUCCUCCUGCGUGCAUGCUGGACACACAGGGGAUCCGGACCGUCAGAAAAGUUUACUUACGUUGGGGGACUUGAAGCGAAGAUAAAAGAGAUGAGACGUCGGUCCCUCCAUGUUUGACAACCUUCUUGUGGCGAUCCACCGUGUAUUGUGACAAGAAUAUUUCCUUCGCUUAACGCAUGUAGUCCUCGUAUUGCUGUUGCUAAUCGGACGUCAGACUUUCAACAACCGGCUUCAGGAUAUUGUCCAGG
Molecule: long non-coding RNA, 579 nt
Organism: Zea mays
Lineage: Eukaryota; Viridiplantae; Streptophyta; Magnoliopsida; Poales; Poaceae
Exons: 2
Source: RefSeq, a predicted model, not a curated record